Molecule: long non-coding RNA, 348 nt
Filed under: Musa acuminata (dwarf banana)
Lineage: Eukaryota; Viridiplantae; Streptophyta; Magnoliopsida; Zingiberales; Musaceae
Description: long non-coding RNA (MACU_LNC000759)
Source: RNAcentral
GGAAUGAAUAUUCGACUAGUUGGGGAAGCUAAUGAUUAUGUUGGAAAGGUAAUGCAGUUCCUGCCCUCAUGAACAGUCUUUUUUUCCCUUCAAUUAAGAUUGUCAAAUUUUCACAGGGUAUGGCUGGCGGAGAGCUGGUAGUAACACCUGUUGAUGACACUGGUUUCUGCCCGGAGGAUGCUACAAUAGUAGGUAACACCUGUCUAUAUGGUGCAACUGGUGGUCAAAUCUUUGUGAGAGGGAAAGCAGGUGAGCGAUUUGCCGUUAGAAAUUCUCUUGUGGAAGCUGUAGUUGAGGGCACUGGGGAUCAUUGUUGCGAGUACAUGACUGGUGGAUGUGUGGUGGUAC